Orbicella faveolata is the source of this 2488-nucleotide long non-coding RNA. The record is from RefSeq and is a predicted model, not a curated record. NCBI's taxonomy places the organism in Eukaryota, Metazoa, Cnidaria, Anthozoa, Scleractinia, Merulinidae.
CCAUCGGAUUCCCAUACAAACACUGUAAUUUCUGACUGCUUUGCCUACCCGUCAAGAUGGUGUCAAAAACUGUGAUAAGGUCUAUUAGUGCGCACAACAGGGUUCUCCUCCCAGUAUUCUGUAACAGAAAUUGAAACUCAGAAGUGACUUUAUAAGAUAUUGGUCUAGUUAGCUUAUGUUGGACUAUGAUGUUAUUAAGUUUAUUCAUAGAAAAUAGCCAGGGUAAGGGUGUCAUUGUCCCAGUGGCACACCCCCACCCUCAGAUUAACAGAGUAGCCCCUCCCCAGAGUUAAACCAAAACAUUCACAGAAUAGUUCGCAAAUUAACUGGUUGAAAAACUGUCCUAUCUUGUAGUUAGCUUGAACAAUUUUAUGUUACAUUCAUGUAGGUCUUGUAUUUGCUUUCAGUAACCCUCGUUUCUCUGUUGCUGACGUACAUCAUUACUACAGCAAUUUUUAUAAUCUUUUUGAGAAAAAGAGUCUGGGAUUAUGCCAUAACAAUAGGAUUUGUUCAUCUUUUACUGUCCUGUGCUGUUAUGCAGUCCUUCCCGACAAAUUGGCAAUGGUGGAUUGCCUUUUUAUCAUCUGUACUUUUCAUGGCUGUGUUUGGAGAGUUGGUGAUCCGAUGCUGCAAUAUGAAAAAUGGUGCUGCCAGUGUCAGUCCAGAAACAAAUGUGAUAACAUGAUAGUUUAAAAACAGUGCCAUGGAUGUGAGAAGAUAAUCUAUUAAUAUCAAAAAUUAUCAUUAUUACUGCGCCUCUCAAUAACAUGCGUGCUAUAAAAUUCAAAGCUCAACCGACAAAUGUGUUUUUCGCUACCAUCAAUCAAAUGUUUGGCGGCUCCUCCAAGCUUCCCACUACUGCCGAGCACUGUUUCAUUGUCUGGACUGUGCUCAACGAUUUGAUUACGGCAUGCUUGGCAGUAAUCGGAAGCCGGGAGGAGCUGCUGAACAUUUGAUUGACGGUAGUGAAAAACGCAUUUGUCAGUUGAGCUUUGAAUUUAAUAGUACGCAUGUUAUUGAAAGGUGCAGUAAUAAAUGAAAAAUUAUAUGCUAGCUAACAAACUAGCUAAAUAUUUUUUAAAAGAUGGAAAGCGCUUUAUUUUCUGAUAAGAGCAAAAGCUAAUAAUAAUAAUAUUGUAAAGUUGUCUAAUAACAUGACAAGAACACUUUUAAAAUAUUCUCAGUGUAUUUAGUUUAUUAGGCUUACAGUAGAGGUUAUGUUAUAUUGCCUGACAAUGUAAAUAAGAUUCAGUUGUAAAUAACUGUAAAUAAACUAAUAAAAGGAAUUUAGAGUUGGUAUGUAGUCAAACAAUCUCAGAUUACUAUAUUCUGAUCACAAAUAGGUUGCUACCAGAAAGUUGUGUCACUCUAGGAUUUGGCAUGGCUUAAAUGCUUAUGAGAAAGAAAAAUAUUAUAUGAUAAUAUAAAGGUAAAUCCCUUUUGUAUUAUUUUAGUCAGUGAUAUUUGACAAUGCAAUAUGUUUUGCUUUUUCACUAUUACUGACUAGUAAUUAACAGUCAUUUAUAGCAAGGAGUUUGGAGAGCACUCAAGAGUUGCUCUUGGCAAGUUCAUCAUAACUCAGCAGUGCAUAGCUAAAAGCAUGAACCAUUUAAUAACAUUGCCGGUGGAAAUGUAUAUCAAAACUCACUCCAAAAAAAUCUAAAACAACAUCUAUUGCAACAUCACCAUGUGAUAAACAAUAAUUUUGGCACGGUGACUUGCUCCUGUUAUCAGCUUGCACUAUUGGAUAAUGGUGCAUGUUUACAUACACUGAACUUGGUUGUGUGGUUGUACUAGCUGUGUUAUGAAAUUAAUUUGUAUUUUUUAAAACUAAGGGCUUGAGAAAUUUGCCUGUUUGAUCAUCUUAGCUGGGCUUUCAAAAUGUUUUGGUUAGCAUGUUUUGUCCAGUAAGCUGUACAUAAGAUUUCUCUUUUCCUUUUGUGAAGAUCGGAUACCAGAAAGAUGACAUGAACACAUUUUUAUAGUCUAAAUAAGGCUUGGAAGACAGGAUGAAAGUUAGCUCAAGGAAACUACUUAUCAUGUGUGGAUGGAAUUACAAUGGACAUGUAAUGUCUGUAACAUGACCACACAUUAUUCUUAGUGUGAUAAAGUACAAUGAUUUGAAUCAAAACCAAUUUUGUGCUGUAAUAUUGUUUGGUGAAUUAAGCUUCCUUCGUGUAGCCGUAGAUGUUCACUUUUUUUGACGGUAUUAUAUUUUAGCUAGUCAAGGGUUUUUCUUCAUCAUGCCUCCUUGAGGUAUGAAGAAGAGAGACCUGGGAAAUUAGGCUGGAAACAAGGCUGUAGGGCAGAUUUUGGUUAUUUAUUUUUUACAGACCAGCCUCUUUUUUAACAGUAAUAAAAAUGCUGGUAUAGUGGGGCAGUUUUUUAGUCACUGGAUAUAUAUACAGAAUUCUACAGUAACCAAGUUUCCAAGACCCUGAUAUUGUAACUUGCGGUGCAUUUAUAAUAAAAUCUUCGUUAUCUUUCA